GCAGGCCUAACACAUGCAAGUCGAGCGGUAGAAGGAAGCUUGCUUCCUUUGAGAGCGGCGGACGGGUGAGUAAUGCCUAGGAAUCUGCCUGGUAGUGGGGGAUAACGUUCGGAAACGGACGCUAAUACCGCAUACGUCCUACGGGAGAAAGCAGGGGACCUUCGGGCCUUGCGCCAUCAGAUGAGCCUAGGUCGGAUUAGCUUGUUGGUGAGGUAAUGGCUCACCAAGGCAACGAUCCGUAACUGGUCUGAGAGGAUGAUCAGUCACACUGGAACUGAGACACGGUCCAGACUCCUACGGGAGGCAGCAGUGGGGAAUAUUGGACAAUGGGGGAAACCCUGAUCCAGCCAUGCCGCGUGUGUGAAGAAGGCCUUAGGAUUGUAAAGCACUUUAAGUUGGGAGGAAGGGUUAUAGCCUAAUACGCUGUAACUUUGACGUUACCGACAGAAUAAGCACCGGCUAACUCUGUGCCAGCAGCCGCGGUAAUACAGAGGGUGCAAGCGUUAAUCGGAAUUACUGGGCGUAAAGCGCGCGUAGGUGGCAAAGUAAGAUGGGUGUGAAAUCCCCGGGCUCAACCUGGGAACUGCAUCCAUAACUGCUUCGCUAGAGUACGGUAGAGGGUAGUGGAAUUUCCUGUGUAGCGGUGAAAUGCGUAGAUAUAGGAAGGAACACCAGUGGCGAAGGCGACUACCUGGACUGAUACUGACACUGAGGUGCGAAAGCGUGGGGAGCAAACAGGAUUAGAUACCCUG
This 752-nucleotide ribosomal RNA is filed under the name uncultured bacterium. RNAcentral's name for it is "bacterial SSU rRNA". It matches the Rfam family "Bacterial small subunit ribosomal RNA", at positions 42 to 789 of the family's 1533-position model. The record is from RNAcentral.